CCUACGGGAGGCAGCAGUAGGGAAUAUUGCUCAAUGGGGGAAACCCUGAAGCAGCAACGCCGCGUGGAGGAUGAAGGUUUUAGGAUUGUAAACUCCUUUUGUUAGAGAAGAUUAUGACGGUAUCUAACGAAUAAGCACCGGCUAACUCCGUGCCAGCAGCCGCGGUAAUACGGAGGGUGCAAGCGUUACUCGGAAUCACUGGGCGUAAAGAGCGCGUAGGCGGGAUAGCAAGUCAGAUGUGAAAUCCUAGGGCUUAACCAUAGAACUGCAUUUGAAACUGUUAUUCUAGAGUAUGGGAGAGGUAGGUGGAAUUCUUGGUGUAGGGGUAAAAUCCGUAGAGAUCAAGAGGAAUACUCAUUGCGAAGGCGACCUGCUAGAACAUAACUGACGCUGAUGCGCGAAAGCGUGGGGAGCAAACAGGAUUAGAUACCCCUGUAGUC
RNAcentral lists this ribosomal RNA (440 nucleotides) under uncultured bacterium. RNAcentral describes it as "partial 16S ribosomal RNA". It matches the Rfam family "Bacterial small subunit ribosomal RNA", at positions 338 to 795 of the family's 1533-position model. The record is from RNAcentral.